This 440-nucleotide ribosomal RNA is filed under the name uncultured bacterium. RNAcentral's name for it is "partial 16S ribosomal RNA". It matches the Rfam family "Bacterial small subunit ribosomal RNA", at positions 338 to 795 of the family's 1533-position model. The record is from RNAcentral.
CCUACGGGAGGCAGCAGUGGGGGAUAUUGCACAAUGGGGGAAACCCUGAUGCAGCGACGCCGCGUGUGGGAAGACGGUCCUCUGGAUUGUAAACCACUGUCCCCAGGGACGAAGAUGACGGUACCUGGGGAGGAAGCUCCGGCUAACUACGUGCCAGCAGCCGCGGUAAUACGUAGGGAGCAAGCGUUGUCCGGAAUUACUGGGUGUAAAGGGAGCGUAGGCGGGAUGGCAAGUUGGGUGUUAAAUCUACCGGCUCAACUGGGAGUCGCACUGAAAACUGCUAUUCUUGAGUGAAGUAGAGGUAGGCGGAAUUCCUGGUGUAGCGGUGAAAUGCGUAGAUAUUAGGAAGAACACCGGUGGCGAAGGCGGCCUGCUGGGCUUUUACUGACGCUGAGGCUCGAAAGUGUGGGGAGCGAACAGGAUUAGAUACCCUAGUAGUC